UGGGGAAUAUUGGACAAUGGGCGCAAGCCUGAUCCAGCCAUGCCGCGUGAGUGAUGACGGCUUUCGGGUCGUAACCUCUGUCACCCGGGAUGAAUCAAUUGACAGUACCGGGAGAGGAAGCCACGGCUAACUACGUGCCAGCAGCCGCGGUAAUACGUAGGUGGCGAGCGUUAUUCGGANUUAUUGGGCGUAAAGGGUUCGUAGGGGGUUGGCUAAGUCGGAUGUGAAAGCCUGCGGCUCAACUGCAGAAUGCCAUUCGAUACUGGCUGACUAGAGGAUCGGAGAGGAGAGUGGAAUUCCUGGUGUAGCGGUGGAAUGCGUAGAUAUCAGGAGGAACGCCGAUGGCGAAGGCAGCUCUCUGGACGAUACCUGACCCUGAGGAACGAAAGCCGGGGGAGCAAACAGGAUUAGAUACCCUGGUAGUCCCGGCUGUAAACGGUGUAGACUCGGUGUAGGGGGAGUUAGUCCCCUCUGUGCCUAAGCUAACGCGAUAAGUCUACCGCCUGGGGAGUACGGCGGCAACGCU
RNAcentral lists this ribosomal RNA (526 nucleotides) under uncultured bacterium. RNAcentral describes it as "bacterial SSU rRNA". It matches the Rfam family "Bacterial small subunit ribosomal RNA", at positions 355 to 895 of the family's 1533-position model. The record is from RNAcentral.